GACGAACGCUGGCGGCGUGCUUAACACAUGCAAGUCGAACGGAAAGGCCCUGCUUUUGUGGGGUGCUCGAGUGGCGAACGGGUGAGUAACACGUGAGUAACCUGCCCUUGACUUUGGGAUAACUUCAGGAAACUGGGGCUAAUACCGGAUAGGAGCUCCUGCUGCAUGGUGGGGGUUGGAAAGUUUCGGCGGUUGGGGAUGAACUCGCGGCUUAUCAGCUUGUUGGUGGGGUAGUGGCUUACCAAGGCUUUGACGGGUAGCCGGCCUGAGAGGGUGACCGGCAACAUUGGGACUGAGAUACGGCCCAGACUCCUACGGGAGGCAGCAGUGAGGAAUAUUGCACAAUGGGCGGAAGUCUGAUGCAGCAACGCCGCGUGCGGGAUGACGGCCUUCGGGUUGUAAACCGCUUUCGCCUGUGACGAAGCGUGAGUGACGGUAAUGGGUAAAGAAGCACCGGCUAACUACGUG
RNAcentral lists this ribosomal RNA (468 nucleotides) under uncultured bacterium. RNAcentral's name for it is "partial 16S ribosomal RNA". It matches the Rfam family "Bacterial small subunit ribosomal RNA", at positions 28 to 507 of the family's 1533-position model. The record is from RNAcentral.